RNAcentral lists this long non-coding RNA (862 nucleotides) under Homo sapiens (human). RNAcentral's name for it is "long intergenic non-protein coding RNA 2392". Lineage: Eukaryota; Metazoa; Chordata; Mammalia; Primates; Hominidae. The record is from RNAcentral.
AGCACCCUCAACUGUGAAAAUAAAAAAUGUCUCCAGACAUCGCCACUUGUUUCCUGAGGGCUAAAUUACCAGUUGUUGUAAACUACUGUUUUACAUACUUUUUGGUUUUUUAAUCUCUAAAGAGAGGAGUUGUGAAAAGAUGUGUCUUUUCCAGCUCUGAUAUUCUCUGACCUGUCCAGCUAUGCUCACAAAAUUGAUGAGAAACUCUAUCUGUUCUUAUCAGAUGCAGAUAAGAAACGUGGGAAGCCACAAGAAAGCCAAGUAGCCUGGGAAAAAGUGGUCAUUGAGCCAUGAGAAAAAAUUAACAUUUGAUCCUGUUGGUGCCACCUGAAGGCAGAGAUGGCUGAGGACCCCCGAGUGUAUAUAUCUGGAACUUAUUUAUCAGAGCAUCACUAAGAGCUUUUCUGUAAGAGUGAUUGCCAUUUAUUUAAUGUAUGAAUGAAAGACUUAAGAAUACAUCUGACCCAGGCAGCCUGGGUUCAACUCUCCAUGUGAGAAUACCAAGCUUGGCUGGGCACAGUGCCUCACAUCUGUAAUCCCAACACUUUGAGAGGCUGCGGCAGGAAGAUUACUUGAAGCCAAGAGCUGGCGAACAACCUGGGCAACAAAGUGAGACUUCAUCUCUACAAUUUUUUUUUUAAUUAGCCGGAUGCAGUGGUGCACACCUGUAGUCUCAGCUUCUCAGGAGGCUGAAGUAGGAUUGCUUGAGCCUGUGAGCCCAGAAGUUUGAGACGGCAGUGAGUUACGAUCACACCACUGCAUUAGAGCCUGAAUGGCAGAGUGAGAGCCUAUCUCUAAACUAAGUAAACAAAUACAGACAUACAUACAUAAAGUAAGAAUUAUUAUAAUAACAAGAAUACAA